Long non-coding RNA from Cyprinus carpio (common carp), 582 nucleotides. The record is from Ensembl. Lineage: Eukaryota; Metazoa; Chordata; Actinopteri; Cypriniformes; Cyprinidae.
ACAGACUCUACUCUUCUGCACAAACUCACACACACCAAAAACACUUUACAUUUGAAAAAAAAUACAACAUUAAACACUAACAGAUCUCCCCCUGUAUUAAUACUGAGCAAAAACACAUGUAAUAACACUUAAUUUUAACAUGUUUACUCUCCUUUAACCAAGCGUGUACGUCUGCAGACUGCAAGACAGGGGCGUAACUUGAAAGAGGCGUAACUUGAAGUAGGAGGCGUAACUUGAAGUUGUCGAAAUCUCACAGAAUCACGCGAGAUGUCAAAACGAUAAGUUGUUGAUUACGUUUUUUAAGGGAAGCAGAGGUUUUAGGCAGGAUUUGAUGCAUAAGGUGUGUGUAGAUAUUAAUGUUAGGGGAGAAUGUGAGUGAUGUGUACAUUUAGUAGGAAAACCUAUUAUCUGAUCCACACUCCGGGACAGAAGAGGGCGGUAUUGCACCAAUAAGCUGGAUGCCAACCGCCGUUAAACUGGAAAGAAGUUACAAUGAGUUACAAUGGUAGUGGUGCUCAUGGAGAGCAGCACACGAUUGUUUGGAGCAGACACAGCAGCAGUCAGAUUGUCCCGCAUGUGUUC